Sorghum bicolor (sorghum) is the source of this 972-nucleotide long non-coding RNA. RefSeq lists it as uncharacterized. The record is from RefSeq and is a predicted model, not a curated record. NCBI's taxonomy places the organism in Eukaryota, Viridiplantae, Streptophyta, Magnoliopsida, Poales, Poaceae. The transcript is spliced from 2 exons.
UUCCUUUGCCGUUUUCUCGACGCCCAUUGGGGGCGGCGAGGCGCGAGAUGCCGAGCUGCCGCGCCGGCGACUUUACCGGACGACGAUGACAUACUCUCCGAGAUCCUCCUCCGCCUACCGCCGCGGCCCUCCUCGCUCCCUCGCGCCUCGCUCGUCUGCAAGCGCUGGCGCCGCCUCGUCACUGAUCCCCAUUUCCGCCGCCGCUACCGCUCCCGCCACCCGAAUCCCCCACUUCUCGGCUUCUUCGAUGAAUCUGCACACUUCUCUUUCUUCAGAUCCGCGAUGGACCCGCCGGAUCUCAUCCCACCCAAGCGCUUCUGUCCGCCGAUCGCCGAUGAGACGGGCGGCUGUGACCCUAGCCAUUGGAGAAACUUCGGAUGUCGCCACGGCCACGUGUUCCUCUACAACCGGAAGCAGAAGGAGAUACCGAGUUGCCAUUCCACCGGAGUUGGAUAAGGAAGAGAGGAUGAUCUGGAGGGGCGCGGUACUCUGUCCAGCGACCACAGCCACGUCCACGGCGGUUUCUGCACCUGCCCCUUCAAGGUGGCCGUAAGGCCAGUGUCAAUGUAUCUAGAGAUUGAUGGCGCUGAACAGGUGGCUUAGUGGCCUAUCUUAUAACCACUUGGAAAUUGACUCUUCAUAUAGCAGCUACUUGUGAAUGGUAAGCGCUAGGGGAAUUUGUGGAGAAUAAUUGCUUGACAAUGAACUCCCAACCUGUUUCGAGGAUCUCUGUAGACAUUAGCAGUUGAGACUUGAUUAGUUAUAUGCAGUGGUAUUUAGAGGUUAGUUUGCUUAUGUGUUCCGAGCAUUUGAGCUGAACUCCUGUUAAGACUUUCUUUGAAAAGCCCUGUUAAGAUUUGAAGUUGACUAGCAGGUGCUCCUUAGUCCUGACUCCUGAGGAUACGAAGCCUAGACUCUCGAGUCUCACCUACUGCUUUGCAUUCUCUUGUUUUACUGUCCUCUUUUGGAGCC